UACGAAGGGUGCAAACGUUGCUCGGAAUUAUUGGGCGUAAAGCGCACGUAGGCGGUUUGGAAAGUCGGAUGUGAAAUCCCUCAGCUCAACUGAGGAAGUGCAUCCGAAACCUCCAGACUUGAGUACUAAAGAGGAUCGCGGAAUUCCCGGUGUAGAGGUGAAAUUCGUAGAUAUCGGGAGGAACACCAGUGGCGAAGGCGGCGAUCUGGGUAGAUACUGACGCUGAGGUGCGAAAGCGUGGGGAUCAAACAGG
RNAcentral lists this ribosomal RNA (253 nucleotides) under uncultured bacterium. RNAcentral's name for it is "partial 16S ribosomal RNA". It matches the Rfam family "Bacterial small subunit ribosomal RNA", at positions 524 to 776 of the family's 1533-position model. The record is from RNAcentral.